This is a non-coding RNA of Camellia sinensis, 302 nucleotides long. The record is from RefSeq and is a predicted model, not a curated record. NCBI's taxonomy places the organism in Eukaryota, Viridiplantae, Streptophyta, Magnoliopsida, Ericales, Theaceae.
GUUCUGUGCCCUUUAUAUGGAAGAAAAUCUAAAGCUUUCCAAGCCGCUUCAGGGACUUCAAACACUGCUAUUAUAUCAAAUUUGACAAAAACUGCGAGUCCAUGGUUGGGUUGUCACUAUCUGUGGACAGUUCUCAAUCACUCACUGCUGCCGAGUAUAUAAAGAGAAGAGCCAAGGAGGCCGUUCGAGCAGAAGAAACUCCUUGUGGGGCUUGGUCUGUGACAAGGUUGUGCUCUGCUACCCAUGGAACAUUAAAUAUUCCGGGAUUGAGUUUGGGAGAUGGGCCUAAAGGAGGACUUGGG